Molecule: ribosomal RNA, 257 nt
Filed under: uncultured bacterium
Lineage: Bacteria
Description: partial 16S ribosomal RNA
Rfam family: Bacterial small subunit ribosomal RNA
Source: RNAcentral
GUCCACGCCGUAAACGAUGGAUACUAGCUGUUCGGUUUUCGGACUGAGUGGCUAAGCGAAAGUGAUAAGUAUCCCACCUGGGGAGUACGGGCGCAAGCCUGAAACUCAAAGGAAUUGACGGGGGCCCGCACAAGCGGUGGAGCAUGUGGUUUAAUUCGAUGAUACGCGAGGAACCUUACCAGGGCUUAAAUGUAUUUUGACCGCUUAGGAAACUAGGCUUUCGCAAGACAAAAUACAAGGUGCUGCAUGGUUGUCGU